GACGAACGCUGGCGGCGUGCCUAAUACAUGCAAGUCGAACGAGAGCGACCGGUACUUGCACUGGUCAAUCUAGUGGCGAACGGGUGAGUAACACGUGGGUAACCUGCCCAUCAGAGGGGGAUAACAUCCGGAAACGGAUGCUAAAACCGCAUAGGUCUUCGAGCCGCAUGGCUUGAAGAGGAAAAGAGGCGCAAGCUUCUGCUGAUGGAUGGACCCGCGGUGCAUUAGCUAGUUGGUGAGGUAACGGCUCACCAAGGCCGUGAUGCAUAGCCGACCUGAGAGGGUGAUCGGCCACAUUGGGACUGAGACACGGCCCAAACUCCUACGGGAGGCAGCAGUAGGGAAUCUUCCGCAAUGGACGCAAGUCUGACGGAGCAACGCCGCGUGAGUGAAGAAGGUUUUCGGAUCGUAAAACUCUGUUGUUAGAGAAGAACAAGUGCUAGAGUAACUGUUAGCGCCUUGACGGUAUCUAACCAGAAAGCCACGGCUAACUACGUG
This 498-nucleotide ribosomal RNA is filed under the name uncultured bacterium. RNAcentral describes it as "partial 16S ribosomal RNA". It matches the Rfam family "Bacterial small subunit ribosomal RNA", at positions 28 to 507 of the family's 1533-position model. The record is from RNAcentral.